CCCCCGAUGGUCUAGUUGGUUCAUGGCGUCUGACUGUAAAUCAGAAAAUCACCAGUUCGAUUCUGGUUCGGGGGA
RNAcentral lists this transfer RNA (75 nucleotides) under Aspergillus luchuensis IFO 4308. Its description in RNAcentral is "tRNA-Tyr (GTA) (tRNA-Tyr-GTA-6-1)". It matches the Rfam family "tRNA". From Rfam's summary of the family: Transfer RNA (tRNA) molecules are approximately 80 nucleotides in length. Lineage: Eukaryota; Fungi; Ascomycota; Eurotiomycetes; Eurotiales; Aspergillaceae. The record is from RNAcentral.